This is a long non-coding RNA of Notothenia coriiceps (black rockcod), 554 nucleotides long. RefSeq lists it as uncharacterized. Lineage: Eukaryota; Metazoa; Chordata; Actinopteri; Perciformes; Nototheniidae. The transcript is spliced from 3 exons. The record is from RefSeq and is a predicted model, not a curated record.
UUGAUUUCAUACCAAAGUCAUACUUAACAUUCCACUUAUACUGUCAAACCUCUGAGAAAUAUUACGGAAAACAACAAGGCGCCAAAAUAUAACAAACUAUCUAAAGUGACCAGCUGCUCUCAUUGAGAAGAACCAGUAGCCUGGCAGAAUAAAAAAGUUCAUACCUGGAUCAUCCAAAGCCUCCAGCCUUGUUCCUCCAGAGGAAUCCAACAGUUUUACCUACAGGCUCAGAGAGAGACUCAAACAAGAACGAUUUGGAGGAAUACACAACUUCAGGUUGCUUUGGACCUCUGCAUCCUAAAGGUCUCCUACAGAUUCCUUGAUUUUGGGGCUCGGGGUCGGGCCCAGGGGGAGCCGCCACCAUUGCGUCCAACGAGUGGAGUGCCAACGGUAGCCCUGAAGAUGGGCUGGACGGGGAGAACGAUGACAAGGCCAUUGACGGGGACGCCGAGGGCGUGUGGAGCCCGGACAUCGAGCAGAGCUUCCAGGAGGCCCUCGCCAUAUACCCCCCCUGCGGCAGGAGGAAAAUCAUCCUGUCAGAUGAGGGAAAGAUG